UUUCGGCGUGCUUAACACAUGCAAGUCGAACGGAAAGGCCCUGCUUUUGUGGGGUGCUCGAGUGGCGAACGGGUGAGUAACACGUGAGUAACCUGCCCUUGACUUUGGGAUAACUUCAGGAAACUGGGGCUAAUACCGGAUAGGAGCUCCUGCUGCAUGGUGGGGGUUGGAAAGUUUCGGCGGUUGGGGAUGGACUCGCGGCUUAUCAGCUUGUUGGUGGGGUAGUGGCUUACCAAGGCUUUGACGGGUAGCCGGCCUGAGAGGGUGACCGGCCACAUUGGGACUGAGAUACGGCCCAGACUCCUACGGGAGGCAGCAGUGGGGAAUAUUGCACAAUGGGCGGAAGCCUGAUGCAGCAACGCCGCGUGCGGGAUGACGGCCUUCGGGUUGUAAACCGCUUUCGCCUGUGACGAAGCGUGAGUGACGGUAAUGGGUAAAGAAGCACCGGCUAACUACGUGCCAGCAGCCGCGGUGAUACGUAGGGUGCGAGCGUUGUCCGGAUUUAUUGGGCGUAAAGGGCUCGUAGGUGGUUGAUCGCGUCGGAAGUGUAAUCUUGGGGCUUAACCCUGAGCGUGCUUUCGAUACGGGUUGACUUGAGGAAGGUAGGGGAGAAUGGAAUUCCUGGUGGAGCGGUGGAAUGCGCAGAUAUCAGGAGGAACACCAGUGGCGAAGGCGGUUCUCUGGGCCUUUCCUGACGCUGAGGAGCGAAAGCGUGGGGAGCGAACAGGCUUAGAUACCCUGGUAGUCCACGCUGUAAACGGUGGGUACUAGGUGUGGGGUCCAUUCCACGGGUUCCGUGCCGUAGCUAACGCUUUAAGUACCCCGCCUGGGGAGUACGGCCGCAAGGCUAAAACUCAAAGGAAUUGACGGGGCCCCGCACAAGCGGCGGAGCAUGCGGAUUAAUUCGAUGCAACGCGUAGAACCUUACCUGGGUUUGACAUGGAUCGGGAGUGCUCAGAGAUGGGUGUGCCUCUUUUGGGGUCGGUUCACAGGUGGUGCAUGGCUGUCGUCAGCUCGUGUCGUGAGAUGUUGGGUUAAGUCCCGCAACGAGCGCAACCCUUGUUCACUGUUGCCAGCACGUUAUGGUGGGGACUCAGUGGAGACCGCCGGGGUCAACUCGGAGGAAGGUGGGGAUGACGUCAAGUCAUCAUGCCCCUUAUGUCCAGGGCUUCACGCAUGCUACAAUGGCUGGUACAGAGAGUGGCGAGCCUGUGAGGGUGAGCGAAUCUCGGAAAGCCGGUCUCAGUUCGGAUUGGGGUCUGCAACUCGACCUCAUGAAGUCGGAGUCGCUAGUAAUCGCAGAUCAGCAACGCUGCGGUGAAUACGUUCCCGGGGCUUGUACACACCGCCCGUCAAGUCAUGAAAGUUGGUAACACCCGAAGCCGGUGGCCUAACCGUUGUGGGGGAGCCGUCGAAGGUGGGACUGGUGAUUAG
RNAcentral lists this ribosomal RNA (1434 nucleotides) under uncultured organism. RNAcentral's name for it is "partial small subunit ribosomal RNA". It matches the Rfam family "Bacterial small subunit ribosomal RNA". The record is from RNAcentral.